AACGAACGCUGGCGGCGUGCCUAAGACAUGCAAGUCGUGCGAGAAAGGGGCUUCGGUCCCGAGUACAGCGGCGCACGGGUGAGUAACGCGUGGGUAACCUACCUCGAAGUCUGGAAUAACUCGGGGAAACCUGAGCUAAUACCGGAUGAGCCUACGAGACCCUCGGGUCAUGUGGGAAAAGAUGGCCUCUGCUUGCAAGCUAUCGCUACGAGAUGAGCCCGCGUCCCAUUAGCUAGUUGGUGAGGUAACGGCUCACCAAGGCGACGAUGGGUAGCUGGUCUGAGAGGACGAUCAGCCACACUGGAACUGAGACACGGUCCAGACUCCUACGGGAGGCAGCAGUCGGGAAUAUUGGGCAAUGGGCGCAAGCCUGACCCAGCGACGCCGCGUGAGGGAUGAAGGCCUUCGGGUCGUAAACCUCUGUCGGGAGGGAAGAAUGGCGGUGAAGCGAAUAGUUUCGCUGUCUGACGGUACCUCCAAAGGAAGCGCCGGCUAACUCCGUGCCAGCAGCCGCGGUAAUACGGAGGGCGCAAGCGUUGUUCGGAAUCACUGGGCGUAAAGCGCGUGUAGGCGGCCGGGCAAGUCGGAUGUGAAAUCCCGAGGCUCAACCUCGGAACUGCAUUCGAAACUGCUCGGCUCGAGUCCCGGAGAGGAUGGCAGAAUUCCCGGUGUAGGGGUGAAAUCCGUAGAUAUCGGGAGGAAUACCAGUGGCGAAGGCGGCCAUCUGGACGGUGACUGACGCUGAGACGCGAAAGCGUGGGGAGCAAACAGGAUUAGAUACCCUGGUAGUCCACGCCGUAAACGGUGAGUGCUAGACGUCGCGGGUAUUGACCCCCGCGGUGUCGAAGCUAACGCGUUAAGCACUCCGCCUGGGGAGUACGGCCGCAAGGCUA
Molecule: ribosomal RNA, 893 nt
Filed under: uncultured bacterium
Lineage: Bacteria
Description: bacterial SSU rRNA
Rfam family: Bacterial small subunit ribosomal RNA
Source: RNAcentral